CAGGCCUAACACAUGCAAGUCGAGCGGAAACGAGUUAUCUGAACCUUCGGGGAACGAUAACGGCGUCGAGCGGCGGACGGGUGAGUAACGCCUAGGAAAUUGCCCUGAUGUGGGGGAUAACCAUUGGAAACGAUGGCUAAUACCGCAUGAUGCCUACGGGCCAAAGAGGGGGACCUUCGGGCCUCUCGCGUCAGGAUAUGCCUAGGUGGGAUUAGCUAGUUGGCGAGGUAAGGGCUCACCAAGGCGACGAUCCCUAGCUGGUCUGAGAGGAUGAUCAGCCACACUGGAACUGAGACACGGUCCAGACUCCUACGGGAGGCAGCAGUGGGGAAUAUUGCACAAUGGGCGCAAGCCUGAUGCAGCCAUGCCGCGUGUGUGAAGAAGGCCUUCGGGUUGUAAAGCACUUUCAGUCGUGAGGAAGGUAGUGUAGUUAAUAGCUGCAUUAUUUGACGUUAGCGACAGAAGAAGCACCGGCUAACUCCGUGCCAGCAGCCGCGGUAAUACGGAGGGUGCGAGCGUUAAUCGGAAUUACUGGGCGUAAAGCGCAUGCAGGUGGUUUGUUAAGUCAGAUGUGAAAGCCCGGGGCUCAACCUCGGAAUAGCAUUUGAAACUGGCAGACUAGAGUACUGUAGAGGGGGGUAGAAUUUCAGGUGUAGCGGUGAAAUGCGUAGAGAUCUGAAGGAAUACCGGUGGCGAAGGCGGCCCCCUGGACAGAUACUGACACUCAGAUGCGAAAGCGUGGGGAGCAAACAGGAUUAGAUACCCUGGUAGUCCACGCCGUAAACGAUGUCUACUUGGAGGUUGUGGCCUUGAGCCGUGGCUUUCGGAGCUAACGCGUUAAGUAGACCGCCUGGGGAGUACGGUCGCAAGAUUAAAACUCAAAUGAAUUGACGGGGGCCCGCACAAGCGGUGGAGCAUGUGGUUUAAUUCGAUGCAACGCGAAGAACCUUACCUACUCUUGACAUCCAGAGAGCUUUCCAGAGAUGGAUUGGUGCCUUCGGGAACUCUGAGACAGGUGCUGCAUGGCUGUCGUCAGCUCGUGUUGUGAAAUGUUGGGUUAAGUCCCGCAACGAGCGCAACCCUUAUCCUUGUUUGCCAGCGAGUAAUGUCGGGAACUCCAGGGAGACUGCCGGUGAUAAACCGGAGGAAGGUGGGGACGACGUCAAGUCAUCAUGGCCCUUACGAGUAGGGCUACACACGUGCUACAAUGGCGCAUACAGAGGGCGGCCAACUUGCGAAAGUGAGCGAAUCCCAAAAAGUGCGUCGUAGUCCGGAUUGGAGUCUGCAACUCGACUCCAUGAAGUCGGAAUCGCUAGUAAUCGUGGAUCAGAAUGCCACGGUGAAUACGUUCCCGGGCCUUGUACACACCGCCCGU
RNAcentral lists this ribosomal RNA (1375 nucleotides) under uncultured bacterium. RNAcentral describes it as "bacterial SSU rRNA". It matches the Rfam family "Bacterial small subunit ribosomal RNA", at positions 43 to 1397 of the family's 1533-position model. The record is from RNAcentral.